UGUUCGUAAAAAGACGAAGUUACCCUUGUAUAUGUCUUUGGCAGGUUAGUCAAUUUAUGAAUUCCUAUAACACAAGUUUUAACCGGUGUGUCGAAAGCACUGAUGGAUGUCACUUAAAAUGUAUUGAAUAUACACUGCGAUUGAGGUAACAUCCUUUUUAAAAGUGCAUCUCAAUUCGAGUAACACGGUUGGGAGAAUUGUAACCCAAUUGCAUUUUUUAUGGUACAUUAUUGACGCUAUCUGUGUUAUCUUUCUACUACACUGUUUAAAUGAUAUGCUGUGGAGUGACAAGAAGAUAGGAAGUUAUUUAAAAGUGACAAAAAGAUAUUGUAGUGAAAAGUGGUAAUAAAAAGUGUUAGCGAUACAAAGUUCAUUCUGCCGUCUGUGACGUCGGCUGUUAUACAGUGAGUAUCUUUUUACGGUACGUCAAGACCAAUGAAACAAUCCAUUCACGAGGACACAUUUUCACCGGAGGCAGGAUUA
Long non-coding RNA from Megachile rotundata (alfalfa leafcutting bee), 483 nucleotides. Lineage: Eukaryota; Metazoa; Arthropoda; Insecta; Hymenoptera; Megachilidae. The record is from RefSeq and is a predicted model, not a curated record.